AUCCAGCUGACGAGUCCAAAAUAGGACAAAACGCACGUCCUCCAU
This 45-nucleotide non-coding RNA is filed under the name Schistosoma haematobium. Lineage: Eukaryota; Metazoa; Platyhelminthes; Trematoda; Strigeidida; Schistosomatidae. The record is from RNAcentral.